Long non-coding RNA from Hydra vulgaris (swiftwater hydra), 785 nucleotides. RefSeq lists it as uncharacterized. Lineage: Eukaryota; Metazoa; Cnidaria; Hydrozoa; Anthoathecata; Hydridae. The record is from RefSeq and is a predicted model, not a curated record.
UGUUUAGAUCCUAUCCCAUUCGGAACGAUUAUUUUUAUUUGCGUAUUUUGCCGAACAACAUUUAAAAACAUUUACGGAGCAAUAUUAAUAACAACAUAUCACACGUGCCUUGUUUGAUAGAUAUAUAUCUAUAUUUGUUACUAUAAUUGCUUUAUUACGUGGUAUUCAUUUUGUUAACUUCAUUGCCUUUACAGUGGGUUACUCUAUUAAUUCAUGGAUUUAGUAGUUCUUAAAGUUGCUGUUAAGUUCAAUCGAAGCACAGAAGCUGCACAAAAAGCGAAAUAGAAAUGAAGUUUUUGUUAUGGUUUCAAAAGUCGUCGGAUUGUGUGAGUAACAGCCGAUUAUAUUCUCAGAAAUACGCUACCAACGAUAAUGCUCCUGAGUUGGACAAUAUAUUUGUUUCUCCGUUUAAUGUUUCUUUGUACUUAGUGGUUUGCUUUUAUAUAAAAAAAAACUUAUUCUGUUGUUUAUUAUCUCUAAAUUUUAUGGCUGAAUUAUGAGAAUAAAAUCAGGGAAUCUUAUAAGUUGCCCAGUGAAUAGUCUGGGACCCAUUUAAGCCCUAUUUGCGUAUCCGCCGAGGAUAAUAAAUGAUUACCUAUUUGGAUCCAGUCGCUGCGCACAUAUGGUCUCCCUGCUAAUUGUUUGGCUAAAUGACUUCUUACUCUAAGUGUUGUAAAAUUUACUUGUGAAUUGUCAAUCGCAGCAAUUAGAUGUUUUGCAGUUUAUGAGCUAUAGUUCAUUGUUAGAUGCUAUACAGACAUACGAAGAAGAAACAAUUACAAAGU